Molecule: long non-coding RNA, 747 nt
Organism: Eriocheir sinensis (Chinese mitten crab)
Lineage: Eukaryota; Metazoa; Arthropoda; Malacostraca; Decapoda; Varunidae
Exons: 2
Source: RefSeq, a predicted model, not a curated record
AUCCAUAUGUCCUUUGCUUCUAUAUAACCCACAACAUCCUCAAAUCUAUAUUUUCACAUUAGUAUAACAAACCACAAAGACAGUUUAGUAUGGCAAGAUUUCUCCACAGCAUAAAAAAACUCAUAUAUGUUACAGUAAUGAGUUUUGAGGUGACCAGACGACCUGUAGCUUGCCUCAUGUCUAUAGCAGAAGAGCGUUAUGGGUGUAGAAACUGGGAUGGGUGUGAAUUUUCUGCAAGCCUUACUCUACAGCAUAUAAGCUUCAUCUCUAUCAUGCUUAGAAAAGAUCAAGUAAGUCUCAGCCAUAUGACUUUUGCUUCUAUAUAACCCACAAGUGAUGCAUUAAUGUCCUCAAACCUAUAUUCUCUCAUUAGUAUAACAAAUCACAGAGACAGUUUCCUAUGACAAGCUUUCUCUGUAGCCCAAAAAACCUCAUAUUUGUUACAGUAAUGAGACUUGAGGUGACUAGACGACCCAAAGUACAUUAACGUCUUCCAAUCUAAAUUCUCUCAUCAGCGUAACAAAUCACAAAGACAGAUUCCUACGAUGUUGUUUUUCGGUAGCAUCAAAAACCUCAUAUUUGUUACGGUAAUGAGACUUUAGGUGCCGAGACAACCCAUAGUGCAUCAAUGUCCACCAUUCUAAAGUUUCUCAUCAGCGUAACAAAUCACAAAGACAGAUUCCUAUGACGUUGUUUUUCUGUAGCCCCAAAAACCUCAUAUUUGUUACGGUAAUGAGACUUUAGGUG